Molecule: ribosomal RNA, 497 nt
Filed under: uncultured bacterium
Lineage: Bacteria
Description: partial 16S ribosomal RNA
Rfam family: Bacterial small subunit ribosomal RNA
Source: RNAcentral
GAUGAACGCUGGCGGCGUGCCUAACACAUGCAAGUCGAGCGAACAGACGAUGAGCUUGCUCCGCUCACGUGAGCGGCGCGCGUGUGAGUAACACGUGUAUCACGUCCCUAUAUUACUGGGAUCACUUCGGGAAACCGGCGCUAAUACCGGAUAAUAUAUUGAACCGCGUGGUUCGAUAGUAAAAGACGGUUUUGCGGUCACUUAUCGAUGCUUCCCGGCCGCAUUAGCUAGUUGUUACGGUAACGGCCUACCAAGGCAACCAUGCGUAGCCGACCGAAGAGGGUGAUCGCCCGCACUGGAACUGGGACACGGUCCAGACUCCUACGGGAGGGAGCAGUAGGGAACCGGACGCAGUGGGCGAAAGCCUGACGGAGUAACGGCGCGUCAGUGAUGAAGGUCUUCGGAGCGUAAUACUCGGUUAUUAGUGAAGAACAAAUGUGUAAUUAACUAUGCACGUCGUGACGGUACCUAGUAAGAAAGCAACGGCUAACUACGUG